GAAAGGAUUAACCAUGAAGAUCUAUCUGGCAGUCAUAAUUGCCUUUUCUUUUCUUAACGUCUUCAAUCUGCGCAUUAUAAGAGGAAGUCUUGGAUCUCAGAUCAUACCAAUAAGCUCCUGUGUAAAUCUGUAUACAAAAGAAAUCAAGAUCCAAAGAAUUGCUAGUUACAGAACAUUGGAAAACGGACCAGUAAAUGCUGUGAUAUUAAUCACAAAGAAUGGGGUCAAGGUCUGUGUGCCACGUGAUCGCAAAUGGGUGAAAAGAGUGACCGACCACUUGGACCNAAAAGGAAAGUCUGGGAAAUCAACAAGACCACAGAACACAACAAGAGCCUAGACUUCAAUAUGUUGGAUGAUCAAUAGCUGCUCAGCCCAUUUAUUAACUGUUGGCUUGAAAAGAGAGUUUCUUAUCCAGUAGAAUUUUGGAAUACGCUCAUCCAUUAAAGAAAAACUGAUUGGACUAUGGACAUUUAGGUUUACUUUUUUUUUCUUAACAAGUUAGAUAUUUCAGCUUACCAGCACUAGACAGUAGUAUGUCUCACAUGUUCACCCAUUUAGUUCUAACUCUGUAAAUCCUUCCACUUGAUCAUUCAGUGNAAAGUCCAGAGAACAUGUAUUGUAUGUUCAGAUAGCCUAAUACUGACAUCUGUUAUCUCCAGACUAGGAAGGGCUAAAAUAGGCCUUGUGUGAAAAUCUGAAGAUGUGCUGGUGCAUAUGAUUCUAGAAGAAUGUUUGAAAAUGAAGUCCAGUCUCCAANGAUAGGAAGCUGUAGUUCUACUCUGGUUUACACUACCUUGAGUUGCCAGCUCCGAGUCCCUCACCUUAGAAAGAAUCCAGGCAAACUGGAACAGAUUCAGAAAAUGGUAAUGAAGAUAACUAGGGCUGCAGCUCCACUUACACUCUGAAAACAUUGGUCUUCCUGCUGGUCCAGGAUGCUGGUGCCUGGAUACGGAGGGCAAUUUUGACUUCCAGGUACAGGCACAGUAGCCUCUUCAGUCACCAUGGCCUGUAUCAACAGGCUGCUGAGAGGUGACAGGAGGUAUAAAGGAGUGAGGUAGCAGCUCCUAUGCUGUUCCUCAUGUCCUCAAGAGCCUUUC
RNAcentral lists this long non-coding RNA (1097 nucleotides) under Salvator merianae (Argentine black and white tegu). RNAcentral describes it as "lncRNA (ENSSMRG00000005199.1)". The record is from RNAcentral. Lineage: Eukaryota; Metazoa; Chordata; Lepidosauria; Squamata; Teiidae.